This 680-nucleotide ribosomal RNA is filed under the name uncultured Gammaproteobacteria bacterium. RNAcentral's name for it is "bacterial SSU rRNA". It matches the Rfam family "Bacterial small subunit ribosomal RNA", at positions 821 to 1498 of the family's 1533-position model. Lineage: Bacteria; Pseudomonadati; Pseudomonadota; Gammaproteobacteria. The record is from RNAcentral.
CGUUGGGCAGAUUUAACUGUUCAGUGGCACAGCUAANCGCAUUAAGUUGUCCGCCUGGGGAGUACGNCCGCAAGGCUAAAACUCAAAUGAAUUGACGGGGGCCCGCACAAGUGGUGGAGCAUGUGGUUUAAUUCGAUGCAACGCGAAGAACCUUACCAAUCCUUGAAAUCUAGCGAAGUUCGCAGAGAUGUGAAUGUGCCUUCGGGAACGCUAUGACAGGUGUUGCAUGGCUGUCGUCAGCUCGUGUCGUGAGAUGUAUGGUUAAGUCCAGUAACGAGCGCAACCCCUAUCCUUAUUUGCCAGCGCGUAAUGGCGGGAACUAUAGGGAGACUGCCGGGUGAAACCCGGAGGAAGGCGGGGACGAGGUCAAGUCAUCAUGGCCCUUAUGGAUUGGGCUACACACGUGCUACAAUGGGAAGUACAGAGGGAUGCGAAAGCGCGAGCUGGAGCCAAACCCUUAAAACUUUUCUUAGUCCGGAUUGGAGUCUGCAACUCGACUCCAUGAAGUUGGAAUCACUAGUAAUCGCGAAUCAGAAUGUCGCGGUGAAUACGUUCUCGGGCCUUGUACACACCGCCCGUCACAUCAUGGAAGUGGGUUGCACCAGAAGUGGUUAGUCUAACCUUCGGGAAGACGAUCACCACGGUGUGAUUCAUGACUGGGAUGAAGUCGUAACAAGGUA